AACGAACACUGGCGGCAGGCUUAACACAUGCAAGUCGAACGCAUCCUUCGGGGUGAGUGGCAGACGGGUGAGUAACGCGUGGGAACGUGCCCUUCAGUUCGGGAUAACCCAGGGAAACUUGGGCUAAUACCGGAUACGUGCGAGAGCAGAAAGAUUUAUCGCUGAAGGAUCGGCCCGCGUCUGAUUAGCUAGUUGGUGGGGUAAUGGCCCACCAAGGCGACGAUCAGUAGCUGGUCUGAGAGGAUGAUCAGCCACAUUGGGACUGAGACGCGGCCCAAACUCCUACGGGAGGCAGCAGUGGGGAAUAUUGGACAAUGGGCGCAAGCCUGAUCCAGCCAUGCCGCGUGAGUGAUGAAGGCCUUAGGGUUGUAAAGCUCUUUCGUCCGGGACGAUAAUGACGGUACCGGAAGAAGAAGCCCCGGCUAACUUCGUGCCAGCCGCCGCGUAA
Molecule: ribosomal RNA, 448 nt
Filed under: uncultured bacterium
Lineage: Bacteria
Description: partial 16S ribosomal RNA
Rfam family: Bacterial small subunit ribosomal RNA
Source: RNAcentral